This 97-nucleotide signal recognition particle RNA is filed under the name Rhodospirillales bacterium. RNAcentral describes it as "signal recognition particle sRNA small type". It matches the Rfam family "Bacterial small signal recognition particle RNA". Rfam says of the family: The signal recognition particle (SRP) is a universally conserved ribonucleoprotein involved in the co-translational targeting of proteins to membranes. Archaeal SRP consists of a 7S RNA and homologues of the eukaryotic SRP19 and SRP54 proteins. Lineage: Bacteria; Pseudomonadati; Pseudomonadota; Alphaproteobacteria; Rhodospirillales. The record is from RNAcentral.
GGAGGCUGGCGGUGGACGGAUUCCUCGCCAACCCGGUCAGGUCCGGAAGGAAGCAGCCGUAACGAGAUUCGAUCCGGGUCGCUGUUCAGUCUCCCAC